CACGUAGGGCGCGAGCGUUGUCCGGAAUUAUUGGGCGUAAAGAGCUCGUAGGCGGCCUGUUGCGUCCGCUGUGAAAGCCCGGGGCUUAACCCCGGGUCGGCAGUGGAUACGGGCAGGCUAGAGGUAGGUAGGGGAGAAUGGAAUUCCCGGUGUAGCGGUGAAAUGCGCAGAUAUCGGGAGGAACACCGGUGGCGAAGGCGGGUCUCUGGGCAACAACUGACGCUGAGGAGCGAAAGCGUGGGGAGCGAACAGG
RNAcentral lists this ribosomal RNA (253 nucleotides) under uncultured bacterium. RNAcentral describes it as "partial 16S ribosomal RNA". It matches the Rfam family "Bacterial small subunit ribosomal RNA", at positions 524 to 776 of the family's 1533-position model. The record is from RNAcentral.